Molecule: ribosomal RNA, 425 nt
Filed under: uncultured Oscillospiraceae bacterium
Lineage: Bacteria; Bacillati; Bacillota; Clostridia; Eubacteriales; Oscillospiraceae
Description: bacterial SSU rRNA
Rfam family: Bacterial small subunit ribosomal RNA
Source: RNAcentral
UGGGGAAUAUUGGGCAAUGGGCGAAAGCCUGACCCAGCAACGCCGCGUGAAGGAAGAAGGUUUUCGGAUUGUAAACUUCUGUCCUAAGUGACGAAGGAAGUGACGGUAGCUUAGGAGGAAGCCCCGGCUAACUACGUGCCAGCAGCCGCGGUAAUACGUAGGUGGCAAGCGUUGUCCGGAUUUACUGGGUGUAAAGGGCGUGCAGCCGGGUCUGCAAGUCAGAUGUGGAAUCCAUGGGCUCAACCCAUGAACUGCAUUUGAAACUGUGGAUCUUGAGUGUCGGAGGGGCAAUCGGAAUUCCUAGUGUAGCGGUGAAAUGCGUAGAUAUUAGGAGGAACACCAGUGGCGAAGGCGGAUUGCUGGACGAUAACUGACGGUGAGGCGCGAAAGUGUGGGGAGCAAACAGGAUUAGAUACCCUGGUAGU